CGUGUCGUGAGAUGUUGGGUUAAGUCCCGCAACGAGCGCAACCCUUAUUACUAGUUGCCAGCAUUCAGUUGGGCACUCUAGUGAGACUGCCGGUGACAAACCGGAGGAAGGUGGGGACGACGUCAAAUCAUCAUGCCCCUUAUGACCUGGGCUACACACGUGCUACAAUGGAUGGUACAAAGGGCUGCAAGACCGCGAGGUUAAGCCAAUCCCAAAAAACCAUUCCCAGUUCGGAUUGCAGGCUGCAACCCGCCUGCAUGAAGCCGGAAUCGCUAGUAAUCGCGGAUCAGCAUGCCGCGGUGAAUACGUUCCCGGGCCUUGUACACACCGCCCGUCACACCACGAGAGUUUGUAACACCCGAAGUCGGUGAGGUAACCUUUUAGGAGCCAGCCGCCGAAGGUGGGACAGAUGAUUGGGGU
This 420-nucleotide ribosomal RNA is filed under the name uncultured bacterium. RNAcentral's name for it is "bacterial SSU rRNA". It matches the Rfam family "Bacterial small subunit ribosomal RNA", at positions 1061 to 1481 of the family's 1533-position model. The record is from RNAcentral.